Molecule: ribosomal RNA, 320 nt
Filed under: uncultured bacterium
Lineage: Bacteria
Description: bacterial SSU rRNA
Rfam family: Bacterial small subunit ribosomal RNA
Source: RNAcentral
CUAGAUGUGAAAGCCCCGGGCUCAACCUGGGAUGGUCAUUUAGAACUGGCAGACUAGAGUCUUGGAGAGGGGAGUGGAAUUCCAGGUGUAGCGGUGAAAUGCGUAGAUAUCUGGAGGAACAUCAGUGGCGAAGGCGACUCCCUGGCCAAAGACUGACGCUCAUGUGCGAAAGUGUGGGUAGCGAACAGGAUUAGAUACCCUGGUAGUCCACACCGUAAACGCUGUCUACUAGCUGUGUGUGCCUUUAAGGCGUGCGUAGCGAAGCUAACGCGCUAAGUAGACCGCCUGGGGAGUACGGCCGCAAGGUUAAAACUCAAAUG